UCCCUACGGGAGGCAGCAGUGAGGAAUAUUGGUCAAUGGGCGGGAGCCUGAACCAGCCAAGCCGCGUGAGGGAAGAAGGCACAGCGUAUUGUAAACCUCUUUUGCCAGGGAACAAAGGGGGGCACUAGUCCGCGGAUGAGGGUACCCGGAGAAAAAGCAUCGGCUAACUCCGUGCCAGCAGCCGCGGUAAUACGGAGGAUGCGAGCGUUAUCCGGAUUUAUUGGGUUUAAAGGGUGCGCAGGCGGCCUGUUAAGUCAGCGGUAAAAGUCCGGGGCUCAACCCCGGCGAGCCGUUGAAACUGGGGG
RNAcentral lists this ribosomal RNA (305 nucleotides) under uncultured bacterium. Its description in RNAcentral is "bacterial SSU rRNA". It matches the Rfam family "Bacterial small subunit ribosomal RNA", at positions 335 to 639 of the family's 1533-position model. The record is from RNAcentral.